This 236-nucleotide ribosomal RNA is filed under the name uncultured bacterium. RNAcentral describes it as "partial 16S ribosomal RNA". It matches the Rfam family "Bacterial small subunit ribosomal RNA", at positions 15 to 240 of the family's 1533-position model. The record is from RNAcentral.
GAUCAUGGCUCAGGAUGAACGCUAGCGACAGGCCUAACACAUGCAAGUCGAGGGGCAGCGGAGAGGUAGCAAUACCUUUACCGGCGACCGGCGCACGGGUGAGUAACACGUAUGCAAUCCACCUGUAACAGGGGGAUAACCCGGAGAAAUCCGGACUAAUACCCCAUAAUAUGGGCGUUACGCAUAGAGAGCUCAUUAAAGAGAGCAAUUUUGGUUACAGACGAGCAUGCGCUCCA